This 585-nucleotide ribosomal RNA is filed under the name Morchella americana. RNAcentral describes it as "eukaryotic LSU rRNA". It matches the Rfam family "Eukaryotic large subunit ribosomal RNA", at positions 55 to 652 of the family's 3401-position model. The record is from RNAcentral. Lineage: Eukaryota; Fungi; Ascomycota; Pezizomycetes; Pezizales; Morchellaceae.
GGAAAAGAAACCAACAGGGAUUGCCUCAGUAACGGCGAGUGAAGCGGCAAAAGCUCAAAUUUUAAAGCUGGCACCUCCGGUGUCCGCGUUGUAAUUUUGUGAGGCAUCUCCGGGUGGGGCGCCGGCCUAAGUUCCUUGGAACAGGACGUCAUAGAGGGUGAGAAUCCCGUGCUUGGCUGGCUGUCCCCGUCCAUGUGAGGUGUCUUCGACGAGUCGAGUUGUUUGGGAAUGCAGCUCAAAAUGGGUGGUAAAUUUCAUCUAAAGCUAAAUAUUGGUGGGAGACCGAUAGCGCACAAGUAGAGUGAUCGAAAGAUGAAAAGCACUUUGAAAAUAGAGUUAAAAAGUACGUGAAAUUGUUGAAAGGGAAGCGCUUGAGACCAGACUUCGGUGGGGAGUGAUCAGCCGUCCUUCUGGGCGGUGCACUUGCCCCCCUCCGGGCCAGCAUCGGUUGGGACGGCGGGAUAAAGGUCCCGGGAAUGUGGCUCCUCUCGGGGAGUGUUAUAGCCCGGGUGAAUGCCGCCAGCCCCGACCGAGGACCGCGCCUUCGGGCUAGGAUGCUUGGCAUAAUGGUCUUCAGCGACCCGU